CAGCAGCCGCGGGAAUACGGAGGGUGCAAGCGUUAAUCGGAAUUACUGGGCGUAAAGCGCACGCAGGCGGUCUGACAAGUCAGAUGUGAAAUCCCCGGGCUUAACCUGGGAACUGCAUUUGAAACUGUCAGGCUGGAGUCUUGUAGAGGGGGGUAGAAUUCCAGGUGUAGCGGUGAAAUGCGUAGAGAUCUGGAGGAAUACCGGUGGCGAAGGCGGCCCCCUGGACAAAGACUGACGCUCAGGUGCGAAAGCGUGGGGAGCAAACAGGAUUAGAUACCCCUGUAGUCCCUGUCUCUUAACC
Molecule: ribosomal RNA, 301 nt
Filed under: uncultured bacterium
Lineage: Bacteria
Description: partial 16S ribosomal RNA
Rfam family: Bacterial small subunit ribosomal RNA
Source: RNAcentral